CCGCGGAGCCGCGAGAGGACAAACAACACUCGGAUCCACACUUGUCGUCUGUAAACAAUCGCUACGGAGAAAUGCUGCUAAUGAAAAAUCAACACCUACGAAAUAACGCUGGAUAAUUUGUGUGCACGUGGCCCCACAUUGAACAGAGGGCUUCACUGUGGCUGUGACGUCCCUGAUAAGUCGGUUUAAAGCAGAGACAAACGCUCCACUGCAGAACAAGUCGUUUAAAAGGCGCCGAGAGGCCUGAACAAAUACGCAUCUAUCUGGAUAAAUAUGUCCCGAGUACCGUGAUGAAGACUCAUGUGGCUUACGUAAAUGGAUGAUUAUGAAGAACACCCGAGGUCGUCCUGGUGGAACAGAGGUUUGUAACAAACAAAGGACACAGUCGAACCUUCGCUGCGGCGCAUUCGGAGGGACGGAGGCGGGAGGAGGCUGCACGGGGGGAACGGAGCUCCUGGUGGACGAGCAUUUUCUGCCAAAGUUGUUCUCUGGGCUUCCUGCUGCUGCCUCUGCUCUGGAGCCCAGUUGGCCGGCGUGAGCGGAUGGACGGCCAAAUCCCCGAAGCCCAGAACCAACGCGCCGAGCGCGCCGCGAAGAGUCUCCACGCCGGCCACUGGCGCCGGCUCGUAGCUGAGGGACAUGCAGAGACUUUACAAACUAAAACUGUCCUUCAGCUGUCAGGUGGGUCGAGCAGAUUUGGACUCAAGCUUUAGAAAAGGUCUAUGAAGCUAAAACACACUGAUUUGUGUCCAAGGAUGUUCAAACGUUUGGAUCCUUUUGAGUUGUGGUUCAAAUAAAGAUGAAGAAGAAGCCGCUAAUUCACUUUAACUGCUGCUAUUUUAGAAGGUUGUGUUUACAAUUUGAUUUCACUUCGGGGGCGCAGUGGAGGUGGUGGAGGCGUGGUGGAGACGUGGUGGAGGCGGUGGGGGCGAUGUGAGGCCGCGGUGGGGACGCGGUGGAGGUGGUGGGGGCGCGGUGGAGGCGGUGGAGGCAAUGUGAGGCCGCGGUGGGAACGCGGUGGAGGUGGUGGGGGCGCAGUGGAGGCGCGGUGGAGGCGGUGGAGGCGGUGGGGGCGAUGUGAGGCCGCGGUGGGGACGCGGUGGAGGUGGUGGGGGCGCGGUGGAGGCGCGGUGGAGGCGGUGGAGGCGGUGGAGGCAAUGUGAGGCCGCGGUGGGGACGCGGUGGAGGUGGUGGGGGCGCGGUGGGGACGCGGUGAGGGCGAGAUGGGGACGUGGUGGAGGCGGUUGGUGCGCGGUGGGGGCGGGUAAAGUGACUGUGUUGCACCACCCUUUUUAAUAGAUAUGCAGUUGGAUGCGAGCAGAUGGGACAGCAGAGAAAAAAGCUACCGGCUGAUUAACGAAUCGCCUCAAACUUUUAUCACAGCUUCAUCUUGCAGCAUUUGAGGGCGCAUGAGAACAUGCUCAGGGGGGGGGGGGGGGUGAGGGGGGGAGGAUGGGGGGUAACACACUUGCCAUUUCAUAUGUGAUGAAUCUAUUUAAACAGAACAGAUGCAGAAGAGCUUCAUGCUUCUCAUUCUUCAUACGGUUUAAUCAAAGGGGGUCGAUUUCUGCUCGAUGGCUGCAGGAUCCUCGUAGUGAGAGGAUGAGAUGGAAGGUGGACCACAGCAGCACCUGGAGAAUUGUUCAGUGUAACACAGUUCAUGCGAGGAGGGACAACAGGCUGUUUUCACACAGAGAAUGAUCAGCACACACACACACACACACACACACACACACACACACACACACUUCCUCCCGGGUGCUUGUCAGGUCUGAUUAAAGAGCAAUCUGCUCACCAGAGGGGCUGAUGACACAUGACGGUGUUAAUUAAUAUCCACCAAGCAGGGAGAGGGGGGGGGGUUUGGGGGGUAUUUGAGGACGUUUUCCGAACACAGAGAAAGGGGAGGUGGGGGGGCUGGAAGAUUUCUUCUGAAUUAACCAAAAGACAGACGUUAGAGAUGCAUGUAGGUCAUAACUCAAAUAUAUCAAGUAUCAAGAAGAAAAGGGGGCUGUUUGUUAUGCUAACGGCGCCUCUCCUCAGCUCCUUUCCUCGCCUCAGCUCCUUUCCUCGCCUCAGCUCCUUUCCUCGCCUUUUCUCUUUGCAGGAGAUGCUUUCUUACAAUAAGUAGCAACCAAAGGACAGUGUGGUUGUACAGAAGUCUACGAGAAGAUGACUACCUCUCUGCAGUGACCAGCAGGGGGCGACUCCUCUGCUCCCAUAGACGUCU
This is a long non-coding RNA of Gasterosteus aculeatus aculeatus (three-spined stickleback), 2227 nucleotides long. Lineage: Eukaryota; Metazoa; Chordata; Actinopteri; Perciformes; Gasterosteidae. The record is from Ensembl.